Molecule: non-coding RNA, 12073 nt
Organism: Anas platyrhynchos (mallard)
Lineage: Eukaryota; Metazoa; Chordata; Aves; Anseriformes; Anatidae
Source: RefSeq, a predicted model, not a curated record
CUUAAAAUAUGCCCUAAGUAACAUUUUUUUACCUUAUUUUUUUGUUUUUUUGUUUGUUUGUUUUCAGAUUACUGGUAAACCAAUAAGCAUAAAAUAAUCUUCACGUUAAACAUAAAGAUGGAAAGAGAUCCUUUAUGAUUUCCAUAAACAUGAAGAGGCAGUUGCAUCUCUUGCCUCCUUCCUAGAACCUGGCUUUGCUGCUCUGUAGUUCCAGGGGUUGAAAGUGCUGAGACAUGAGUAUUGGAAUGUAUGGAAAUCUAAGACCAGGACAUCUGAACUUAACCAUAAGAUGAGUUCUUAUUCCAACAUACCACAGCAAUUACUGUGAGAUAGACAGAAAUGAUCCUAUGUGCAGACAGUCCAGGCAAGACCUCAGAAGAUCAGUGGCAGAAGGUGCUCAGGCAGAAUAAGCAACUCCAGGGUGCUUUCUUCUUUGUACACAUCUUGAAAACUUGGCUGGCAUUUACAAGGACAAGGGCAAUGUUCCUUGUACUGUGGCAAGGACAAGAUGCACUGUUUUCAAGGGCUAAGCUAGCCCUGAACAAUGUGGACUAGAAGUUUUUCCUUCCCUGCUAACUAUGGAGUUCUCAGUCACAAACAAAAAUUACUUGAGUCAUACAGAAAAUGAAAAUAUAUUUAUUUAAUCCUGAAAGUAACAUCUGAAACUUCUCUUUUUAUUUUUCAGGGUGAGAAGAGUUAAGGUCUCGAUUUUCCAGGGAACUCAGUUUGGCUAUCAAAAUUUUAUUCUUGUUCUUUCACCUGCACACAAUUAUGGCUAGAAAUGUGUAUUACUUUUUCCCUGGUUGAAGGCUAAGCAUGCAUUUGUUGGCACAACCAGAAAAUUAUCUAUCCAAGUAAUAUAAAACAAUUGUAAAGAUAUUUGAAGCCCACUUUAUUCACAAUUACAGUAAAAUUAAGGGAACGUGAGGAAUGAGGUAUGGCUUCGUCUUUGUACAAAGUAGAGACUUCUAGAAAACACACUUAAGUACAUUCCUCCUCUUGCUGGAAGGUUUCUGAGGUAGAAAAAAAGUCUCCUGAGUCUUUUCUGUGGCAGAAAGGUUGCCACUGUGUAAAAGCUGCAAUAAGGAUUGUCAGAUAUAACAAAUUUAUGAACUCUGUAUGUUAUUUAGGAAGUGAAAGGAAGAUUUUCUUGAAUGCAUUUGAUCUAACAGGUAAAGACCAAGGAAGAAGCAGUGCAAAAACAUCACAACUUCUCAGAAGAAAAAUUUGCAAGACAGAGACACAAAGGCACUGAUGUCCAGGUUUUCUGCCACGGGUGGUUGCAACCCAGGUUGAAGGUGAAAGACAUAUGCAAAAUCAGCCCAGAGGACUGGGUAGGGCUGAGAGCCCAGCUCAUCUUGAUCAAAGAGAUCAGGUGGGUCAGAAGCACAGUUUCAUAGAGACUUCAGAGGCUGUGUGAAUUAGGAGAUAAAUCCAAGAACCCCAACUUCAGUAGUUUAUGUAAAAACAGACUGAGAUUACAAAAAAUCCAAGAACCCCAACUUCAGUAGUUUAUGUAAAAACAGACUGAGAUUACAAACAGCUCUUGUAGAUUAUGUUUAUAACAGGGUGAAAAAAAAAAAAAAAAAAAGACAAGGUUUUCAGAAAAGCAGUUUAUUUUCUGUUAUUUUCUGCCUCUCAAUGCUGAUACAUAGUUUUAGCCACUGUGUGGGUGGUUAAGAAAAUAUCACAGUCAGUAAAUGAACACACUUUUUUUUUUUUUUUAAGCAAACUUUUUCUUAUUAAAACAGUGAGGUCCAAAAUGCUGCAUGCUCCUACUGACAUCAGUACAAACCUGCCAAAGCUGUUAUGCUCCAGCAGGAUUAAAUCCUGCUGGCCAUGUCUCCAGCUAUUUUUUUAAUUUGUAAAUUAAGUGUGAAUCCACUGUGGUCAGUGCAGGUAUUAAUCAUCAUGUCGGUGUAACAGUAAACAGCGUUUGACCCUUUAUUGCACUCGUUCACCUUAUUGCACAUGUUCCUACCCUAUGAUGAAUGUACUGUGCCAAAAUCUGUGUGGAAAUGCUGAUCGUGCACCACAGGACUUUGGGAACAGUUGUUCAUCCCCAGACCUGCUUUAGGAAACUGUUCAGUGGUUUGUGCUCUGUGACUGUGAGGUGUAACAUGUCUGUAACAUCACAUGUUUCAUCAGGAUCAAAAUGUGUUUGCUGAAGCACUUUGCCACCACCUGAGACCUUUCUCCCUCUCCCACAGCUUUACCUUGUCAGAUUUGGUAAUGCCAGCUCCUGAGGAGCUGUGGUUCAGCUCAGAACAUUGAGCAGCAUCUCCAGAGGACAUAUUAAGGAAAAGACAGCUCUGAGGUGGUAGCAGACAUGGAAAAAAUUAUGCACCAGAUACUUGGAAAUGAGCCUUAAUGCCUGGUGGGAGGCAAGGUUUUUAUGGUAGAAUGGACUAACAACUACCAUAUUGAAGCAUCUGUAGGAAAACAUUAGGGAUCCAUGCGAAGAUAGGAGGGGUUAUAAGAAGAGUUCAUAUUACAUUAUAUUAUUUUCUUUCUCUGAAGUAUAAAGCUGAGUUUCAUAUUGAGAUACAUUCAGGUAGUUGAAAUCAUUCUUAACAAAUUGUUUCUGAGGGUAAUAAUACAGAUUAUAAAAUGUGUCUAGAAGAACUUGUUCAUCUUUAAAAUACAAUAGAGAAAAAGUCCUCACUGAAAAGUUGGUUCCUUCUGUUUGUAAACACACAUGCAAAGGGAAUUUGGAUGUAUUAAACAAGUCCCAGGUGCCAGUCUAUCUAGGGAAUAGCUGCUUCCCAUGUGCCUUGCCUUUUUUUUUUUAUGAUGAGUUCUGCAGGGCUGGUUAAAAUAGAAGGAAAAAUAAAGAGAGAAUUUUAAAGACAACAGAAUAUUACUUUUGUAACUGAACUGAAAGUUCUGGAAUGUUCAAGAUGAAUUUAUUGUUGUCGUUAUUAUUAGGAAAGCAAGCAAGGUCAAGGACACAAGCCAUAAACUUUACUUAGAGUGGGCCACUGCUUGUUUUUUUGUGUGCAUUAGAGCAGGUGGCAGAUAUGCUGCGGGGAGGAAGAGUGGAGGUAUAUGUCUGCACAACACAAAUGUAGGCAGGAACCCCCUGAGGAUGUGAGCUGGGAGCAAGCCAGAAACAUCACGAAUGCAUUCAUGCACUGCUCAGGCUGUAUAUGAAACCUCCCAGCAGGUAAAAACAACAGGCUGUGCCCAUUACUGGUUCUCAUUUGCCUGUAAACCUUGAAGAAGUAGCAGUGAAUAAACAAGGGUGUGUAUUUUAUUCUGUGUUCACCAGAAAUAGUGUUGCAUAGAUUUAGUCACAGUAUAAACUGUUCUGGAGAGAUUUUACUUUGUACUAUCAGAGCUUUUCCUAAAUUAAAAGUUCUAGAAUAAAGAAAACAUUUGGGAAUGAGAGUUGCAAUCUUGCCAGUGGCUUUAUGAACAUGAUUUUUAAUACCUUUGGAUUUUAAGGCUCUUCAAGCGUUUUCUUUGAAAACUUCAAUUUUCUGUUCUGGGGGCCGAGUUUGAAUUUAAUGAAUUAAAGUAUGAAAGCACUAGCAAAGUAAAUUGUUAAGUCUUGAGAGCAACUGUCAUUCAGAACUGGCUAUCAAUAAGAAACUGCUUUCAAUAGGCUACAGCUUUCUAAAUGUUUAACUGAAAAAGUUGACCUAUAUAGAUAGUAAUCUACAAAAAUACAGUUAUGUUAAAACUGCACUGUGCCUACUUGUGUCCUCACACAGGCUGACUAUUUUCUGUUAGCUAAAUUCCUAUUUAUCAGCUUAAUUCACAAUAAAUAUAAAAAUAUAGAAUGUACUUCAGAUAUAGCUAAUAUAAAAAUCUUAGUAAAAUUUAGAGAAAAAAAUUGAGUCACCAAAAGCCUGCUGAGAUAAAUUGGGAUGAAAACAAAAUUUCUUAUUGCUCAGGCUUUGUUCCUGUGUCUGUCCUGGAGAUCCCUGGUAUGCUUUUGUUCUGAAGACUGGGAUGCUACAGAUUGCAUAGGCAGGGCAGCACUGCAAAUGAUUUAGAUUUAUGAUUUUUUUUUCCUCCUGCUUGAGUUAGUAAAGGAAUUUUUCUUAUGCUGAAGGGAGGUUACCCAACGGUUUUAUGGUGUAAUAAGUCUGAGAUGGAGAAACUGUGCAUCAGCUGUCCCAAGCAUUUACUUCUCCCAGAAAUUAGAAAGGUUUAAAGGUUUAAAGUAAUAAAGUCACUAUUUAAUCAGGACAGACAAGACUCUGUGAUGUAGUUUGACCAGGGAGCUGCACAGGAGAAGCAAGCAUCGAUACUAGAUGUAGCUUCUAUGAGAGAUGGUAGCAGCUUUGCAGAAUAACUGUCUUCAUUUUUAAGGCCAAUCAAAUUACAGAUUUUUUCUUUUUUCCAUUUUUUACAAUAAUAUUCUGUCAGUUCCCAGAAGGCAGCAUUAAAGAAAAGAUAAGACUUAAUUUCAGAUGUUAUUGGGUUACUCAAUGACAUCUGAAGAAAACAGGGCUUACAAGCAAUCUGUGGUUUUAAAUUAGGUUUGCCAAAAGCUACAUAAAACAAUCAGAUAUGCACAAUCAAAGCUGUUGACAGCCAUUUGCAAGCUGGAUUAUAAGGAGAUAAAGCUCAAUGAACAUUACUGCCAACAAAUAAUCUGAUUUGUUUCUGCCAUGAGUAUAGAGUACUUGAAAUAACUGACAGCACAUUUUUUGUAACAGUGUUGAUUUAAAAACAAAAACAAAACAAAAAAAAACCAACAAAAAAAACAAAUAGCCAUACCCUUCCUGUUACUUGAAGUCAGAAAAGACUGCUUAUAUCACCUACAAUUUUUCAAAUACUGACACAGGUCUUUUCAUGCCAACAAUUUUAUUUGUGUUCAUAAUUUUGAGGUAUAACAGCACUCCAGUUGUUAUCAGACUCUAAAUAAAACCAGAAAAUGGUCUGUUUUAAAAAUUCUUGCUCAGCUCUUUAGUUAGCUUGUCCAAUUAUUGUCCUCCUUCAAUGGAGAAGAAUUAGGAAUCCAUUUUACUGGAAAUUCUAAUGCAUUUUUUAAAGGUUUCCAUUGUUUUGCCAUGAUGCCUUUCUCUUUGAAUCCUUAUGUUUGUCUAGGUGGCAAAAUGCAGUGUUAGUUCAACCAGCUCAUGUGUCAUACAGUCUCCAACCUUUUUGCUGACCUUCUCUGCACAGCUAACAUUUUGGAUCAGGCAGAACCCUUGGCAGCUAUAACAUCUCCUGAGAGCUCAGCCAGCUCAGGCAUCUCUGCAAAGGACUGCUUUGUGAUUUUGGUUUUGCAGUGAGAACAGCAUUUCCUACUCAUCAUUCUCUUUUAAUCUCCAGAUGACAACUGUGUUAGGCCUGAUGGACUGGUACAUUUGAGGUGGUUGAAUAUUAUUUUAUGAUUAUUUGUUAUUUUGAACCUCAGGAGAACUGGGGCCUACAAACAGUUAUGGUCAAAAGCUAUGCCUGAGGAUGAAAAAAACUCAGAAUAUAUUAAAGAUUCCAGAAUUGUAUAUGUUAUUGUAUAUGUUACAAAAUUUCUAUAUCUGACUAAAUUGUCAUUCUUGGAUUUAUGCUGCAAAGGAGAGUUUCAGCAACAUGACAAAUUUGUCAUAAAUUAUCCUUAUUAAAAUGUAAUAUUUUAAUGAGGAAACUUGGCAGAUGUGUUUCAUAUGCCAAUGUCACUUCCAGGUUCAUGUGCAGUCACUGCUUCCUACAACUCCAUUUUGUCAUUCACUGUUUAGGAUCUGAUUUUCAAUUUCCAUUGUUUUCAACUGAAAUUAGAUAAAUAUGCCAGAGAAACAAAUCUUAAAACUAAAUCCAGAAUUAUUACUAAUAGGAUAUUUAUAAAAGAAGCUAAUUUCUGUCACUCACAACCCUCUAAAUAUUAGCUAAAACAGGUGUGGGUCUUUUGCUACAAUAAAGGAGCCAGUCAGGAGAAAAUGGUAUGUUUGUCAGGUGAAUGCAUUCUGUACUGAGUGCAAAGAGCUCUCUUCAUCCUUAAUAAUAAUAAGAAGAAGAUGUUGCUAGUUUGCCAAAGUAAAUGUUAUUCUACAGCAAAAUUGUCUAUUAAAUGUGUUUUAAAUGGAUAUUUAAAUAGUAUUUUCAUUCCCUAGAUGUGCUCAAAUAUUUGCAGACUACACUGGAUUCAGUCCAAAUGUCCUUUCCUACAAACCAGUGUAUGAGUUUACACCCAGAGAUUGUUUUUGAUGGCGGUAUUUGUUCAUUCUUCUUCCUUGCAAAUAGAAUCAUCUUCCACGCUGCUAUUUUGGAUGUAAAUAUUGCUGUUAACCUUGUCUUAUCAUGGUAACAUUCUGUAUGGGGUCAGUGAGAAAAUAAUCCCCCCAAACAUAUGAUGACUGAAGGUAUUUGCUUACACUGCUUCUUGUGGUUUCUCUGUUUGUAGCUCUUGUGCUGUCCUUGCAUGAAGUCUUUGUCCUCAGAACCAUGGGAAAUGUUAGCCUAGAUCUUGAACAAAAUUAAUAAUUUUAUAAAUAUUAUAAUUAUACAAUGAGACAUAUUGUUACUCCAUGUGUGGGAGAUCAUCACAGCAGCUCAGAACCUUGGCUAUCUAUGAUCAAGGAUUCUUUGUUGUUGAUAAAACUGUAUUUUUGCUUGAUUUGACAAAGCUAAAUGGCGUUAAGUAGGAGAGUUCAACUGGAUCCCUUGGAACAGAUACAACAUCCAUUGGAUCUCAUUCUUGAGCAGACCAGGUGUCAAGUGCAUAAGAAUACCUGAUAUCUGUGUCCAUUAAUCAUUUUUCACUCCCUUUAGUCCAAUUAAGUAAUGUUUAGUAGGAAGAAAAAGAAGAAUUAGAAACAGCAAAGGUAAAAAACUUUUCAUUCCUUUCAGGUGCAGUUAUUUGAAGUCAGUUUGAACAGUUUCAGAAUUUGGACCUUCUCAUAUAUUUUGCAAGUGAUCAGUUUAAAACCCUGCCUGCCGACAGUCCCAGUGGGGCAGAACACAAAGUGUGACAGACACAUUUACAUGUCAUUAGAGAUGAUGAAUUAUAAAUCACCACAAAGCAUCACUGUCAUAAGAGGAAGUGGUCACGUUUCAAUUGUCUUAAUGCUGCAGUAAACAUAUGACAAGGCAUUGUGAUCAGGUUGCGAUUUUUUGGGGUAAAAUCUAGUUUUUGCUCUGAGUAAUCUUGCAAGAGCAAAACGUGACUUUUUACUGAAGAAAGGUGAAAUUCAUGGUGUUUUAAAAUUACAUUACUGAAAUAUAAGUACACCCACCAGAACCAAAAAUGUUGACUAUGGCGGUUUUAGAGUACCUAGCACAACAAAAUAUAUUUUUAUUUGUAGGAGCUACAGUAGCAAACAUCAUUUAUAUAAACAAAGGCAAUAUAGUCCCACAACAUCUGAUGUCUUUACUUGAGCUAAAAAUUCUCUGUAUAAAGAAGCAUUUUUGUCUUUGUUACCCUCGGAACUCAGGCCAGGCUUAGUAACUCCAUGGUCACUCUAACUCAGUGGAGGCUGAAUUCAUGACAAAGCUUUACCCAGCUGCAUGCUGUGGAGGCUGGUAGCUGGUGGCUUCCUAGCUAAACUUCUGCCUGAGUGGGUUUAAAUCCCCAGUUCCUGUCAGACUAAAAUAGCUGCUAGGCAGUUUGUAUUUCUGAGCUAAUGCUCAUUGAAAUCCACUUGUGUGAUUCCCCUUUGUGUGGACUGACUUCCUAAUAGUUCAGAGGGAGUAAACACAGACUGAAAACUACAGGGCAUGUGGAGAGCAAGGGCUGGAUUUCAGUUCCUUUUCCAGUGAAGGUUUAAAAAAAUUUCUAAAUGAUACUGGAGUAAAAAUACAAAAGACAGUGGAGCAGUAAAAGGGAAAUGGGUUCCUGACCAAAGGAAAAUUUCCUCACCUUUUAACCAUGCUCAAGACCAUUCUCUGUCCAAAGACAUACUUAAAUACUCUGUGUGAAGCUGAACCACCUCCAAAAAAGAGACCAAUAAAUGUAGUAAACAGCUUACAGGUGUGGCUCAGCACAGACGUGAUGGAGCUAAUAUCUGAGGCGCAAAAUCAAGAGAGAGAAAAAGGAGAUGACAAGGAUGAAUGACAGAAAUGGAGGUGCGAGGAGGUGGAGGAGUUGUUGGCAUGGAAGCCAGUUCAUAAAAGCAGAACACCGUGUUCAUUUUCCUUGUAAGGUCCAACCCAGCAGAUGUACAUUGAGUCCAUCAGAUCAGGCCUCACAGAUGAGCCAGAGCAAUAAUGAGUUCCCAGAAGGGCUUAAGGAGCUACAAGUUUUGUAGCUCUGGCUUGUCAUAUUGUAGGCACUCCAUACAUCCCCAGAAGCAAACCCUACCCCCUCUUUCCUUCCAGGGCAUCACAGUCCAAGUGCCACAGACCUCUGGGAACAGUUAUGGGUCUUGAGGAAUGAAAUUGCUCAAAUUCCUGCCUUAAAUUCCUACGUUGGCAGUUAGCCUGAUUGUAGAUUUGGCAGGCAAAUAGUCCUGUUCAUGUUCCCACUCUUUUGAACUAUUAAUGCAGAUUGUAAAGAUUUUUUUUUUCUAUCUUGCUUUGAGAUGCCAAAGUUCAGUUGUAAAAUGAAAGAACCCAGAAGAGAAAAAGACAUUGCUCUGUUGUCAAGCAUAACCUCACCUCUCAAGCAUUUGGGAGCCUGAAGGGCUUGGAGUUAAAAUGAAGAAGAGCGUCUAACAUUCACGGAAACAUAUAUUUCCUCCCUCAUUCUUUUAUUUACUUUGGUAAGAAGUAUACAGAAACAAGACAAAUAUGUUGAAACUAUUCAUGUGGAACUGAUUUCUGCAGGAAAAGCUGUGAGAUAACUGCAGGAACCCAAGUAAAGAUCAGAUUCUGCCUCUCUGAUGUGCUGAUGGGAGUCUGUGUGACAGGUGAUGAAAUGCAAUGGGACACACAGAAUUCAGCUGCCGAAAAGUCCACAGUCUGGUUACACAGGGCAGAACAAACACCAGCUAGGACAGAAAUCUGAACCCUCAUCCAAUGAAUAACAAAAACAGAGGGAAGAUGAGGUGGAACUACCAAGGAAAGCACAGGUGAAAAAUCAUGACCUAUGUUUUGUGGCAAGCAGAUGCCAACCUCUCCAAUGCAAGACGGAAGCCAUCAGCUUCUGGACCUUACCAUUGUACAAUGCGUGAUUGUAUCAACAGCUGGGACACGUGCCGGGGAUGAACGAAGCAAGUUGGAGCCAGAUGAUAAUGUUUUUCCACUCUCAGGGAGUGUGUGAUUCUUCUUGAGGAAGAGCCUGUCUGAAACCCCUGGAUUCCGUGGUAGCUCAGCCUAUGACACACUCAAGUAUAUAGCUGCAGCCCUUAAAAUGUAAUGAGUCCCUACUGUACAGUGAAACAAUUCCAGACAUACAUAUGCAACAUGGGAAGAACCAGGUGCCAAAAAAUUCUCUUCUGUCUGGCCAUAAACUUCAAAAAUAUUCUCUCUAAAAGGUAAAAAUCUGAUGAACUCUAUAACAAAAACUUUGUUUAUGUAUGUUCACAUCUACCAUAUUUAACUUCAGAAUGUAACUACCUUCAGACAAAAGUUGUGGGGUUUUGGGUUUGGUAUUGUGUUUGUUUGUUUUAAUAAUAGAAAAGGACAUAAAUCCUCCAAGAGGCCGUUGGAAAAAAGCAUAUAGUUUUUAUGCCUAUGAAUGUAUGAACACGUAUGUAAAUCCAGAGUUAUACUGGACUUUUAAUAAUAUCUGGUUCAGCCGAUGGUGACUAGCAGAAAAGAGCUAUCCAGCUUCACUGACAGCUCCCAAAUUCACUUGUGGAGGAGAGUAGAGAAAGGCAAGAAGGUACAACCUACCAAGCAGAGACUGAGAGGUGACAUGUCUGGACAAAGAUGACAGAAGUGCAAAAAAACAAGUAACAUUCAAAGCAUGGUUUGGGUGGUGUAAACAUCUUGCAUGUCAUUUUCAUCAGCUUUAGAUACAUUUUACACACUGUAUUUGAAAUUAAAAACAAACAAUCAAACAAAAUGAACAAAAUAAAACAAAACAACAACAACAAAACAUGUUUUCUCUCAAAAGCUCUCUCUCCAGAAAUGUAUGAUGCUUUCUGGCUGUAAGAAAUAACAGAGCUCACAUUAGAAAACCCAAAUGGUUCUAAAGGUUCUAAAUGGUUCUGACUGCCAGACAUUUUUAUUAUUAUAUUUUUUUUAAGUAGCUAAUCUCAAGCUUAAAAUUGCCCACAGUCUCCUGAACUGUCUACAAGACUGAUAGAUAAGUAGAAGAAAGGAUGGUCUCUAGAGAGCUAAUCUUGCAGCUAGUAAUCUUUUGGGUUUUCAUCCAAAUAGAAUUGGAGACCAGGUUUUAUAUGAAGAACGAUUAAAUUGCCUAUGUAAAGCUCAGAUUAGGAAUAAUAAAUAUAUAAAUAUAUAAAUAAUAUAUAAAUAUAUAAAUAUAUAAAUAGACAUGGGGAAAACAGGAAAGAAAAAGAAAAAAAGAAAGAGGAGGAAAAAAUAUUUUAGUGGGAAACAAAUUCACAAAUCUACUGUUUCAUUAAAAUCUAUACAUUAGAGUGGAAGAAUUUGUUUUAUUUUGUUUUGUUUUUACUGCAUGCAAUUUCCAUGGACAUAAUGUAAAUUACAGCAAAUUGAUUUCAUACAGAAAAUCUGAUGCAUCUGAUGUAUAGAUUGUACUUAAACCAGUAAAUCCACACGUAUUUUUGGUUUGUGCAUUAACUUGCAUCUCCUUAUUUUUGUGUUCACCCCCAAUAGCUAAACUGUAUAAAAAUAUCCGUAUACUCUUUAGAAAUACCAUGUAAAUGUGAGAAAUAUUAUAUGUGAGUCACAAAAGAAGAAAAAUUAGUUUUUAAAUCUUAAGUAAACCUAGAUUAAGAUUCUAAUGACUCAGUGGCAAACUAUGAGAAUAUUUUGGUUGAAGAGGAAAAGAAAAUUCCCAAGAGUAACAUUGAUUUUAUGUGUAUGCUGGAGAAGUUAGAGGGGGAAGCAUGGCAAAGACUUGAGAAAGGCAAAGCUGGCAGCAAUAUUAAAUCACAGGCUGAAGUAGUUCAUUUUUGUAUGAAACGGUAGCUCAUAUUGUGGAUUUAUAAAAUAUAUGUAUUUUUCAGAAGAAGCAAAGUGAAAAUGAGGUUGCAAAGUGUUAAUGAGGUCAGAUCUUCCUAAAGUCAGCCAGGCUUUGGUAGUCUAAGAAGAGAGAAAAAAAAUACAAAUAUUAGCUGCCAAGUUGUUAAACGACUAUGAUUUUGGCAUAGUCUGUCUGAUCAUAUGAUGCACAUUCUACUAGCGAAAUCAGAGUUGUGUAAAUUCUUGCAAAGUAUUUUUAGAAAACUAUGAAGAAUUGUCUGAGAGCAAAUCAGAAGACAGAAUUGCCCUACAGACAUUUUAAUUUCAUUGUGAGAUAUCUGAGAAAACUUGUAGGAAAAAUAACAACCAUCUCUAAAAAGGCUACAAUAAAUCACUGCGUAUAAAUUUUCCAUUCUUUGUAUUGUUCCUGCCUACGGUUUGUCAUUUAAUUUCUACAAGUAUUGUGAGAAAUCACUUUGCCUGGAAGAUUUUCAGGGCUUCUAUUGCUUUUUGGAAACUUAAAAUCCCUAUGUGACUCCGUAGCCCAAACUCUAGUUCUGCUCUUAAAGCUGAAAGUUUGAUGAACUCUCACUGUUCUGUUCUUGUGCUGUGGUAGUGUUUUGCUGUUGUCAUGAUUAUUUCAAGCCUAAAGGAGGCAUCCUGAUUAUCAGGUCCACAUAUAAGAUCUUGGCAGGAGUGCAGGUUGCUGCUCUGUUGCUGGAGACCAUCCCGUCUCUAUUCUCAAAGGGUUUUUGCACAUCUCCCAGACUACACAUGGGUAUCACUGCUGGAUGAAUAAGGCAAAAGUUAAUCCAGAUGAAGAUGACAGCUUUGAAAUAGCUUGUGAUAGCUUGAAACAGUUGGUGUUCAAUGCUUCAAUGUUUUUGUUUGUUUUUUUUAUCCCCAUGAUACAUUGUUAUUAGAGGGAAUUUUGUGAGAUGAUGCAUUUUUCCUAAGUGGUAAUGAGAUACAUCCCUAUUUCAGCUGAAGGUCUAUAAUGCCUUUUUAUGAAAUAAUCAGCACUUUUACACUAUUAACACCUAAGAUAGUCCUACAUGAUAUUGUUUCUGGUGAUAAAAUAACCUCAAAAGAGGUUUGUUUGUUUCCUUUUUUUUUUUUUUUUUUU